GCCUAAUACAUGCAAGUCGAACGAACUCUGGUAUUGAUUGGUGCUUGCAUCAUGAUUUACAUUUGAGUGAGUGGCGAACUGGUGAGUAACACGUGGGAAACCUGCCCAGAAGCGGGGGAUAACACCUGGAAACAGAUGCUAAUACCGCAUAACAACUUGGACCGCAUGGUCCGAGUUUGAAAGAUGGCUUCGGCUAUCACUUUUGGAUGGUCCCGCGGCGUAUUAGCUAGAUGGUGGGGUAACGGCUCACCAUGGCAAUGAUACGUAGCCGACCUGAGAGGGUAAUCGGCCACAUUGGGACUGAGACACGGCCCAAACUCCUACGGGAGGCAGCAGUAGGGAAUCUUCCACAAUGGACGAAAGUCUGAUGGAGCAACGCCGCGUGAGUGAAGAAGGGUUUCGGCUCGUAAAACUCUGUUGUUAAAGAAGAACAUAUCUGAGAGUAACUGUUCAGGUAUUGACGGUAUUUAACCAGAAAGCCACGGCUAACUACGUGCCAGCAGCCGCGGUAAUACGUAGGUGGCAAGCGUUGUCCGGAUUUAUUGGGCGUAAAGCGAGCGCAGGCGGUUUUUUAAGUCUGAUGUGAAAGCCUUCGGCUCAACCGAAGAAGUGCAUCGGAAACUGGGAAACUUGAGUGCAGAAGAGGACAGUGGAACUCCAUGUGUAGCGGUGAAAUGCGUAGAUAUAUGGAAGAACACCAGUGGCGAAGGCGGCUGUCUGGUCUGUAACUGACGCUGAGGCUCGAAAGUAUGGGUAGCAAACAGGAUUAGAUACCCUGGUAGUCCAUACCGUAAACGAUGAAUGCUAAGUGUUGGAGGGUUUCCGCCCUUCAGUGCUGCAGCUAACGCAUUAAGCAUUCCGCCUGGGGAGUACGGCCGCAAGGCUGAAACUCAAAGGAAUUGACGGGGGCCCGCACAAGCGGUGGAGCAUGUGGUUUAAUUCGAAGCUACGCGAAGAACCUUACCAGGUCUUGACAUACUAUGCAAAUCUAAGAGAUUAGACGUUCCCUUCGGGGACAUGGAUACAGGUGGUGCAUGGUUGUCGUCAGCUCGUGUCGUGAGAUGUUGGGUUAAGUCCCGCAACGAGCGCAACCCUUAUUAUCAGUUGCCAGCAUUAAGUUGGGCACUCUGGUGAGACUGCCGGUGACAAACCGGAGGAAGGUGGGGAUGACGUCAAAUCAUCAUGCCCCUUAUGACCUGGGCUACACACGUGCUACAAUGGAUGGUACAACGAGUUGCGAACUCGCGAGAGUAAGCUAAUCUCUUAAAGCCAUUCUCAGUUCGGAUUGUAGGCUGCAACUCGCCUACAUGAAGUCGGAAUCGCUAGUAAUCGCGGAUCAGCAUGCCGCGGUGAAUACGUUCCCGGGCCUUGUACACACCGCCCGUCACACCAUGAGAGUUUGUAACACCCAAAGUCGGUGGGGUAACCUUUUAGGAACCAGCCGCCUAAGGUG
RNAcentral lists this ribosomal RNA (1453 nucleotides) under Lactiplantibacillus plantarum. RNAcentral's name for it is "bacterial SSU rRNA". It matches the Rfam family "Bacterial small subunit ribosomal RNA". The record is from RNAcentral. Lineage: Bacteria; Bacillati; Bacillota; Bacilli; Lactobacillales; Lactobacillaceae.